Long non-coding RNA from Cavia porcellus (domestic guinea pig), 6784 nucleotides. RefSeq lists it as uncharacterized. NCBI's taxonomy places the organism in Eukaryota, Metazoa, Chordata, Mammalia, Rodentia, Caviidae. The record is from RefSeq and is a predicted model, not a curated record. The transcript is spliced from 4 exons.
UUGUUUCCAAGAUCUGGCGAUUACAAAUUGUGCUGCUAUAAACAUAGGUGCACAUAUAUCACUGUGGUAUGAUGCUUUCAGUUCUUCUGGGAAUUGCAUUGCUAUUUUAAGGACCGCAUUCUGACAUAAUAUAUUGUAAUGAUUUAGUAAAUAAAUCAUUAAAAAUUUUUUUAGUUUUGGAAUUUUAUUCCUCCACUAGAUGGCAGCACACAACCAGCUAUAAUUUAGGUUGCCUUUGUAAAGCGAUAAAUUCUAACGGUAUCCAGUGCCUUGUGCAUCUAACACACCUCAUAAUACUAGUUUGAGAUUAUUAAGAAUUUAGUAAGGGUUAAUUGGAUUAUGUGUGCCAAAUUGAAAGUACAGCAUUUGACAAUGUUAACAUAUAUUUUUAUGCUUUACAUCUGAUUUAUAUUUGAUGACUUUGAAGUACCAGUUAGCUGUUUUUGUAAAAAAGAAAAUAGCCAUAUUAAAAAGUGUUUUUGUUUUUUUUUUUUUUGCGAUUUUUAAAAUUUUUUUUUAUUUUGGUACUGGGGAUCGAACUCAUGACCUCACACUUGGCAGGCAGGCACUUAACACCACUGAGCUAAACCCCCAGCCCUGUUUGUUUUUUGCUUCAGCAAACUGAAACGUUCUUAUGUUGGAAUAAAGAGUAAUGUGGAGGGUUUUUGUUUUUGCUAUUAACUGUUUGUGAUGGGAGUGAAGAUAUUUAAUAGUAAAACCCAGUGUUAGGUGUAGUUCUUAUCUUUUAGAUAUUGAAGUUAAUAUUUGUAAAAUAUAAAAGUUAUUUUAUGAAGAAUAGCAAUUUUGAUAAAUAUGCUGUGGUUAAAUAUUUUGGAGAGUUCUAUAAUUAGGUUUCUUUUUUUAAAAAUUGUUCAUUAUAUACUGUUUAUAUAUUCUUUAGAAAUUACUCAGUUUUUACAUGUUUGAUUGUUACUCAGUUUCCAGAAACUAUUAGUGUCUGUAAAUUAGGUAAAGAAAUUAGAAAAUGAGUAAUUAAUUCUGACAACUCUUUUUUAAGUUAGAAAUCUGAUUUGAAGAUUUUAUAAGUGGCCCAUUUUAGUACAGUGCAGUUGUGGUUUUCAGUCCAGCUCUGAUACUAUUGCUCAAUUGUUUGUAGGUGAGCUUUUUUUGGACAUACUUUAUUUUAGUAACAUGCUGAAAUUUAGAAAAUUCAGUUUUAAAAGCACUUAUGAAUGGAAAAAGAACUAAAUUUCAUUUCCCUGUGAAUUAUUUAGAAGGAAUUUAAGCAUUUAUUGCAUUAUUCUAGCCUGAUAAAAUGUAAACUACUGGCUAGAGUAACAAAGUAUAGUAUAUAACUUAGAACAAAUCAAAUUGCUACUUAAACUAUAAACUUCAAGCUGUGAUCUAGUCCUGGUAGUUGCUGUAGUAAGUCUGUAACAGGUGCUGCAAAAUGGAACUUUAAAAGUUAGACUUUUUCUGUUAGUUAUGCAACUUACCUUGUUUUUUCCUCUUGGACGCAUAGCUAACACCCCCUUGUCAGAUCAGUACAAAUAGUGUAGCUCCUUCUAAAAGUGGCUUGCCAAAUAAAUGUUGCUGGGUUCUGGGUUGCUCUCCUUUCCUUCUGGAAUUAGAUUCCAGAUUCUUCUUGAACAAAGAAUUGAAUGAAAUGAGAAAAGAGAGAGAAGGGGGAAAAAAGCAGUGGCAAAGUGUAUUGUGAAGAUGAGGGAGAAACGCCUGCACAGUGAGGUUAGACCAAGUGACAGAGAGCACAAGGUGCGGUGCACCGUGAGCAGAGUGUGCUCUGUGAAGAAAUCAGACUGGCAAGCUCUUCAUGGUCUCCUGUCCUUUUAUGGUGUCCGGAUGUUGAGGAAACCUUCAAGAACUUCUACUUUCUGGUCCUGAGAGGUGAUACUGGGAUCUUAAGCCUCAGGCUGACCUUAGGUCCUAGGCCAUUCUGUGGAAAAUUCGUUUGCAGGGCUUUUGGGACUGUUCUGAGCCUGUGUUCUGAGAUCUUCAGUUAACCUGUCAGAACUAUUUCCCCAGCCAGUUCAGUCACACUCUGAUCUCCUGUAUCAUCCCUAAACACUAGUUCUCUACGCUCUGGCUUUGGCAAGCAUCAUUUUAUUUAUGUCUUUAUGACUUUAACUACUCUGGUGUCUCACACUGAAUCAUACAGUGUUUGUCUUUGUGAUUGCAUUAGCAUACUGUCCUCAAGAUUUAUCUAUGUUGUACCAUAUGUCAGAAUUUCUUUUCUUUUCUUUUGAGGACUGAAUAGUAUUCCUUUGUAUAUACAUACUGCAUUUUGCAUAUUUAUCCCUAAAUAGAUAUUGGGUUGCUGCUAUGUUUUAGUUAUUGUGAGUAAUGCUGCUAAGAUUUAAUUCUUAUAGUCACUUCAUGAGAUGAGAACUAUUGAUGAGGAAACUGAGACCUAGAGCUAAGAACUGCAAAAUUGCAGUUAGUAAGAGCCUUUGUCUAUGUGGAAUGUGUGUACUUAACCACUAACUAGAUUCCCUUUUGAUGUUUUCUGCUUUGCCUCCAGAUAUCAUCACCAUGACUUACUAUGUCUUAAUAUAUCAUAAAUGAUGCUAUACAAAUAAUUUUUAAUACUAAUGUUGGCAAAUGGCCAUACAGUACAUUAUUUUAUUUACUCAUAUGCAUCAACUAUGAAAUUGCCCAAUUAAAAAAUAAAGUUGAUGUUGGGCAUGGUGGCUUAUAGCUGUGAUCUCUUGCCUUGGGAGGCCAUGGUAGGAGGAUCACUGUGAGUCUGAGGCCAGUGUGGGCUAUCUAGUGAGUUCAAGGCCAAUUUGAGCUAUGUAAUCUCAAAAAAUAAAGUUAAAAACAACAACAAAAAAAUUAAGUUGAAACCCCUCAAUCUGGAUUUUAAAGCACUUAACAAUCUUUGACCAUGAAAUGGUUAUUUGUUUUACAUAGUAGAUAUAUAAUUCUGGGAAACUUGGAAUUGAUAAUUUCUAUAGUGACAUAGAAGAAGUAAAACUAGCAACCUAUUAGAUGUCAGGUUGCUGAUGCAUGUGAUUUCCAAAGGACAGUGGAAGUGGAAGAGUAGAAAAGAUUUAUUGGAGAAAAGGAAUCCCCAGUGGUUUGCCUCUGUGGCCCUUUCUCCGAGAGUUUUACGUAGGGCAUAAUUACAAGAUGGGUACAAAAUCAGGAGUGGGUACCGUGUGGAUCAAACUAUAAUCCUUCAUUAGGGAAGUAUGAAAUCCAGCCAUUGUGAUUUUAAUCAUGUCUUCUUUAAGCUACAAUUUUGGUGUUUCCACCUUUUACUCCUUUCCUUGAGAGCCUAGUCUCUUUCUGCCUGUAUUAUAUAUUAAUUUUUAUCUAACUUAGCUGCCUAUAAUUAUGGGAUCUGCUAUUUGGAGCAUGUGAGAUGUCAUGGAAGUGAGUUUUGCAUAGGAGUUUGAAGACUUGUUUUGAGAUAGGAUGGUGCAGACUUCUAGGCAGUGGAGGAUGGUAAAAUGAGAAUGGGAUAAGGAUAUUGCAAUUCUAAAGUUUAUGUAGUUAAAAAUAGGACAGCUAUAAUCAUUUCAUGAUUUUUUUCCCAAAGAAAAUGAUUUUUGGUACAUUUUUGGUAUACAUAAUGACCAUGUUCGUCGCAGGGAAUUUUGUAUCUGUACAUGAUAUAUUUUGAUUCCUCUUUUUUCCCAAUCCCCUCCCCUUCAACUCUUCUCUAUUUAUAAAGUUUUUGUUUCCAUUUUAUCCUUUUUUUAUCAGUUUUUUUCCUUUACCCAGUCUUCCCCGUCCCCAUUCUUCUUGCCAUUUGAACAUUUUCUUCCUAUUUUGCAAUAUUUAUUAUACAUUUUGGUACUUAUUUAUACUUUUAGUUUCUUACAUCAGAAAAAGAAUGUGGUACUUGCACAUGUGUGUCUGAUUUAUUUCACUUAGGAUUAUGGUCUCAAGCUUAUCUUUCUAUGUGGUAACAUAGUACUCUAUCUAUUGGUAUAUCUCUGUAUAUCUCUAUCUCUACCUCUACCUCUAUCUAAUCUUCUUUAAUUAUUCACUAAGUAAAUGGGCAUUUGGGCUGUUUCCAGCCUUUGGCUAUUACAAACUAUGCUACUGUAAAUAUGGGUGUACAUAUAUUGCUGUGGUUUGCAGCUUUUGAUUCUUUCAUAAAGAUUCCAAGAGAAAUAGCUGGGUCAGAUGGGACCACUAGUCCUUUUGGAGGAAUCUUCAUACCUUAAAUUUCCACAGUGGUUUUAAAGUCUGCAUUGCUACCAACAGUGGAGAAGGGUUCCUUUUCCCCCAUAUCCCCAACAUUUGUUAUUGGUCGAUUUCUUGAUGAUAGCCACUCUUUGUGGAGUAAGAUGGAAUAUCAUAGUUUUAAUUUGCAUUUCACGAAUGACCAGUGAUGUUGAAUACUUCCAUAUAUUUAUUUGCUAUUUCUGUUUCUUCAUCUGAGAAGUGUCUGUUCAUUUGAGAUGCCCAUUUCUGGACUAGAUAUUUAAAUUCGAGGGCUCUGAUUUUUUUUUUUUUUUGAGUUCUUUAUAUAUUCUAGAUAAUAAUCCUUUGAGGAACAGCCGGCAGAAUUUUUUUCCCACAGUGUAGGUUGUCUCUUUACUCUGUUGGUGGUUUCUCUUGCUGUGCAAAGCUUUUUAAUAAGAUGUGAUCCCAGUUGUUGAUUCUUUGUGAUAGUUCUGUGCAAUUGGGGUUUUGUUCGUAAAGUCUUUGUCCACACCAGUGUCUUCAAGAGUUCCAACUAUUUUAUAUUCCAGCAGAUUUAAUGUUUCCAUUUUAAUAUUUGUAUCUUUGAUCCAUUUUGAUUUUAGUUCAGUGUAUGGUGAAAGAAACGGUUCUAAUUUUUAAUCUUCAGCAUAUAGAAAGCCAGUUUUCCCAGCACUACUUAUUAAUGAGGUUAUCAUUCUUCCAGUGAAUGUGUUUGACCCCUUUGUCAAAGAUAAGGUGGAUAAGUUGUCUUGAGUUGUUUGCAUCUUCUAAUGUGUUUCUUUGAUGCUCAGGUCUGUUUUUUUUUUUUUCUUUUUCUCUCCAGUAGCAUGCUGUUUUUCCUCAUAGUAGCUCUGCAGUUAGGGAUCUUGAUGCUCCUUGACUUGCCUUUGUUGCCCAGAAUUGUCUUCGCAAUUCUAGGUCACUUUUGGUUCCAAGUGAAUUUUAGGAUUUUUUUUUCUAAUUAUGUGAGGUAUGCUAUUGGGAUUUUAAUUAGAAUUACAUUAAAUUUGUGUAACAUUGGAAAUAUGGUCAUUUUCACUAUAUUGGUUUUUCCUACCCAAGAGCAAGAAAUAUCUUUCCAUUUUUAAACUUUUUUUAAUCUCCCUUUUGAAAGUAAUGUAGUUUUCAAUGUAAAGUCCUUGUUAUCUCUUUCUAGAAUGUCCUGAUUUGUUGUUCAUGAAUUUCCUUAAGUGUUGUUUGUCAUGCAAGUAUCUUAUUUCUCCGUUAUUUUGAAACAUGAUUUUGUGGGAUACAUCAUUCUGGCUGGGUUGGAGGUUGUUUCCUUUUAUGACUUGAAAUACAUCACUCUAAGCUCUUCUUUAGUUGAGGGUUUGUGUUGAGAAGUCUGCUGUGAUUCCAAAGACGCUUCUUUUACAGGUGAUUUGCUUCUUUUCUCUAAAAGCCUUUAAUAAUUCUGUUCUUGUGUUGAAUUUCUGGAAUUUUGACUGUUGUAUGCUUUGCUGUACAGUUUUUAUUUCAUUCAUGGGUAAUGGAGUCCUAUAUGCCUCACUUAUCUGUAUGUCAGAUUGUUUUUCCUGCCAAGGAAGUUUUCUGCCAUGAUGUCUGUAAAUAGGAUUUUUAUGUUAUUUGCACUCUUGACUCUGAUCAAAUUUAUUUUAUUCUUUUUUGCAUCAUCUAGCUGCUGGAGUGAUUUCUUGUGAUCUCUUGCUGUUCUUAAGAAAUCUUUCUUUUCAUGAUUGCUGACUGCAAGCCUGUCUUCUAUGUCUGAGAUUUUGUCCUCACAUUGGGUCAUCUUGCUGCGUGUACUGUCAAUAGAAGUUUUAAUGUCUUAGACAUUGUUUGAAUCUGUUUAAUGGAUUCUGUUUCUUUCCUAUGUUGGGCAUUCAUGGUUUCCAUCAUUUCAUUAAUAAGGCAAUUUACAUAUAUAUUGAUGAAAUGUAUAUAUAUAUAUCUGUAUGUAUAUAUAUCUAUAUCUAUCUUUAUCUGGUCCAGAGUCACUAAACAUGUCUUUCAUUGUGGUCAUCAUUUCUGUAGUUAUGUGAAUAAUUAUUUCUGAUCUGGUUUCUUCUAGAGCCUUGUUCAUUUGCAUUGUUAAUUCCACUGUUACCACUUCAGAGAGGCCAGUACAAUCGGCAAUAACAGCAGCAUCAAACGAAGCCUAGAAAAUGACAAAAUGAGGAGAGAAAAUUUAAAAGAGGUUAGGGGUAAAAAUAGAAGAGGAAAACAUCAAAAGGAAGACUGGAGGACAAAGGAGCAUCAUACAAACUUUGAGAAACUGAUGGAGAAUCCAAGGGGGAAAAAGAGAAGGAAGAAAUAUAAAGAACUCAGCUGGGCAAUAACCACAAAAAAUUAGGAACUAUAAAAACAGGAAUAAGCAAUGAAGAAAAAACCAAACCAAACCAACCAACCAACCAACCAGUAGCAGAGGGACAGAGAGAGACAGAGAGAGGUCCACUUCAAGCUGUGGGAGACUGACUCAGGAGGAUUGCUGUGAAUUCAAGGCCAGUCUGGGCUACUUAGUGAAUUUGAAUCCAGUUUAAACUAUAUAGCAAGAUUUUGUCACAAAAAAUAGAAAAUUAUUUGGAGGGGCAAACUGAAGUUUUUUGAGGUAAGAUGGAAACAUGAAUAUUGUGACAGGGACUCUGUGAUCAUGAUUUUUUAUUGUUUUGUCCAGCUAGAUUAA